Molecule: ribosomal RNA, 460 nt
Filed under: uncultured bacterium
Lineage: Bacteria
Description: partial 16S ribosomal RNA
Rfam family: Bacterial small subunit ribosomal RNA
Source: RNAcentral
CCCACGGGGGGCAGCAGUGAGGAAUAUUGGUCAAUGGGCUUACGCCUGAACCAGCCAAGUCGCGUGAGGGAAGACUGCCCUAUGGGUUGUAAACCUCUUUUGUCAGGGAGCAACGCCGGCUACGUGUAGCCGGACUGAGAGUACCUGAAGAUAAAGCAUCGGCUAACCGCGUGCCAGCAGCCGCGGUAAUACGGAGGAUGCGAGCGUUAUCCGGAUUUAUUGGGUUUAAGGGGUGCGUAGGGGGAAAGCCAAGUAAGGGGUAAAAUUGGGGGGCUCAACCUCGCUCCGCCGUUGAAACUGGCGUUCUUGAGUAGGCGAGAAGUAUGCGGAAUGCGUGGUGUAGCGGUGAAAUGCAUAGAUAUCACGCAGAACUCCGAUUGCGAAGGCAGCAUACCGGCGCCCAACUGACGCUGAAGCACGAAAGCGUGGGUAUCGAACAGGAUUAGAUACCCGAGUAGUC